This is a long non-coding RNA of Quercus robur (English oak), 819 nucleotides long. RefSeq lists it as uncharacterized. The transcript has 2 exons. NCBI's taxonomy places the organism in Eukaryota, Viridiplantae, Streptophyta, Magnoliopsida, Fagales, Fagaceae. The record is from RefSeq and is a predicted model, not a curated record.
UUUAAUGAAAAAUCAAUAUACUCUAGUACACACAAUCAUAACUCAAUUAAACCUACAAUCCUCAAACACGAGUACACGAUAGUCUCUCAGACCUGAAGAACUAAACGCCUAAACCCCAAAUCCAUCUCCUCCUCCCCCUCACCAGAGCUCCACCCCGCCACAUACGCCGACGCACACGCCGUUUCUGGAGCUAGCGCCGCCGCACCCGACCUCAAGGUCAAUCAUGUAGACAGUACUUGUGGUUUUGGUUGCUGUGGAUUACUCUUGCUUUGUAUCCAAGGUGAUGCCAAAAGGUUUCUCUUAGAAGAGGUGACCAAUGGUGAAACUGAUGUAAAGCCAAAUAAUCAACCUAAGAAGUCAAGCUCAAAAGGAAAUCCAAUAUUAGGUUCAGUGCCAACAGUUGAUGCCAAUAAUAAGAACAAGGAAAGCAACACUUCUGACGAAGAUAACAACAGUGAGGAUGAUAAGAAUGAGAGUUAUAAAAGUUAUGGUAAUCCUUCAGGAUCAUCAACUGAGAGACACCAUCUUUACAUAACCACAUGCCUGCCUACAAGACCAGAUUGUGAGAAGAAGGUGUGAAUUAAUAUGUAUACUGGUAUAAAAUAGAGAUAGUGAGGCAAAAUAUGUCACAAUAGGUUUGAAUCACAUCUUUGAUGUUUUCUUUUGUGCUGUUUAGCAUAUAAGCAAGGCAUGCCAUAUGUGAUUUUUUAAUCUCUAUCGAUAGUUUGUCAUGGUUUUAUAGCCUCCUGGCCCAGUACCUAUGUGUAAAUCACUGUAAUGAAAUAAAAUCAUCGCUAGUAUAGUUUUCAUGUUUUAGAA